CAAAACAGUUGCUGAUAACAAAACACAACACACACGUUUUCUCUUUCCCAAAACAAACACACGUUUCUUCUUCUUCUUCCUCUUAUCAUCAUCACCACCGCCAACCCUCUCCCCCCAUCCAUCGGAGACCAAGCAUCUCACCAUCUCCUCUUCACACUCCACACAAACAGACUCCUUCACCGCCUUCUCCUCUUGUUUAAUUGUUUUGUUUGAGAAUGUUGUAAUUUUUUUGUUUAGUAAUGUUUUUGUUAUUAGUGAAUUUUUUUUGUUGAGAAUUGAUUCAUACUUGGUACUUUCUGUGCUUUUAUUCAGUUGCAUUCUUAUUGAUUUUUAUUAUUGAUUAUUGUUCGAUGCUUACUCAAUUUUAUUUCUCAACCAAAUAUAUCGAAACUGUAAAUGUUGUAAGGUGAUGGAUUUGUUGAUGUGUUAGAGGAAG
Molecule: long non-coding RNA, 436 nt
Filed under: Medicago truncatula (barrel medic)
Lineage: Eukaryota; Viridiplantae; Streptophyta; Magnoliopsida; Fabales; Fabaceae
Description: long non-coding RNA (MTRU_LNC007871)
Source: RNAcentral